UACCAGCACCCCGAGUGGUCGGGACGUUUAUUGGGCCUAAAGCAUCCGUAGCCGGUUCUACAAGUCUUCCGUUAAAUCCAGCUGCUUAACAGAUGGGCUGCGGAAGAUACUAUGGAGCUAGGAGGCGGGAGAGGCAAGCGGUACUCGAUGGGUAGGGGUAAAAUCCGUUGAUCCAUUGAAGACCACCAGUGGCGAAGGCGGCUUGCCAGAACGCGCUCGACGGUAAGGGAUGAAAGCUGGGGGAGCAAACCGG
RNAcentral lists this ribosomal RNA (253 nucleotides) under uncultured bacterium. RNAcentral's name for it is "partial 16S ribosomal RNA". It matches the Rfam family "Archaeal small subunit ribosomal RNA", at positions 474 to 727 of the family's 1478-position model. The record is from RNAcentral.